AGGGAUCAGCAACCUCUGGCACUCCAGCUGUUCUGAAACUACAACUCCCAGAAUCCUCCUUUCACUUCUAUGGGAGUUACAAGAACAGUGGAGUAAGUGUGCAUGAUAGGAGUUGUAAUUUUACGGAAGCUGGAGUGCCAGAGGUUGCUGAUCCCUGUCUUAGGCCUCUUUCACACGACCAUUUUUU
Molecule: long non-coding RNA, 187 nt
Organism: Bufo bufo (common toad)
Lineage: Eukaryota; Metazoa; Chordata; Amphibia; Anura; Bufonidae
Exons: 3
Source: RefSeq, a predicted model, not a curated record